RNAcentral lists this long non-coding RNA (981 nucleotides) under Pan troglodytes (chimpanzee). RNAcentral describes it as "long non-coding RNA NONPTRT008584". Lineage: Eukaryota; Metazoa; Chordata; Mammalia; Primates; Hominidae. The record is from RNAcentral.
CAGGAAUUGGGCGUCUGCUGUUUGCCAGGAGUCCGGCGGAGCGUGGGACUGCUGCGAUCCCUAGGAAGGGGAACCUACCUUUCCUCACUUUGCAACUGAAGAAACUGAGAGUCGGGGAGACUCCGCGAUUUCUCUCAGGCUGCUCUUCGGGCCCUGGCGUGGACCCUUCUCCCAGAGGCACAUGCCCAGAACCCAGCAAUGGCCAAUGGGACCCUGAUGGCCGAGGGCCAGAGAAGACUCAAGUGCAAAGAGCUGAGGUGCUUACACGACCACCGCACAGGAACGAAGCGUCGGAGUGUGGAAUCGAGACCUGUUCUACUGCACUCCAGAGCACAUGUUCUUUCUACUCUGCCAUAAUGUUUGGGACAAAAUUGAAUCAUGAGGGUUUUUUUUUUUUCCAUUACAAAUGUAACACAUCGCUCCUGCGUACGGCUGGGAUGAGUCACUGGCACCAGACGUGCCCUCCUGCGAAAAACAGCUAUGAAACUGGACAAAAUACAGGAGGGCCACUGUUUUCAGGCGUUGAACAGUGGAAAGAGGACUGCGAUCCUUGAGAAGAGAUGAUGGUGAAGACAUGUCUCCAAGGAAACUCGUGUGAAGAUGUUCAUAGCAACAUCGUUUAUAAGAGCAAAGAAACCAAGAAUAACCCAAAUGUCCAGCAAGAGGAGAGCGGACAAAGAAACGCCGAGUUCUAUGGAAUACUACUGCACCUUUUAAAAGGAAGAGGACAAGCUCUUUAAAUAAAUCUGGAUAGAUUUCCAAGACAUAUUGUUGAGUUAAAAAAGCAAGCUGCGGAACAAUAUGUACAGUAGGCUCCCAUUUAUGUUAAAAGACACUCAUAUGCUUGCUCAAAACAAUACUACUCAUUUACUAUACAAUACUAUGCAUAUACUCUAUUACCACACACGCACACACAUGCACACACAUGCAUGCACACACACACAUGCAGCAUGCACUCACUUUUAGACAAAGAUCUAGAAG